GACGAACGCUGGCGGCGUGCUUAACACAUGCAAGUCGAACGGAAAGGCCCUGCUUUUGUGGGGUGCUCGAGUGGCGAACGGGGGAGUAACACGUGAGUAACCUGCCCUUGACUUUGGGAUAACUUCAGGAAACUGGGGCUAAUACCGGAUAGGAGCUCCUGCUGCAUGGUGGGGGUUGGAAAGUUUCGGCGGUUGGGGAUGGACUCGCGGCUUAUCAGCUUGUUGGUGGGGUAGUGGCUUACCAAGGCUUUGACGGGUAGCCGGCCUGAGAGGGUGACCGGCCACCUUGGGCCUGCGAUACGGCCCAGACUCCUACCGGCGGCAGCAGUGGGGAAUAUUGCACAAUGGGCGGAAGCCUGAUGCAGCAACGCCGCGUGCGGGAUGCCGGCCUUCGGGUUGUAAACCGCUUUCGCCUGUGACGAAGCGUGAGUGACGGUAAUGGGUAAAGAAGCACCGGCUAACUACGUG
Molecule: ribosomal RNA, 468 nt
Filed under: uncultured bacterium
Lineage: Bacteria
Description: partial 16S ribosomal RNA
Rfam family: Bacterial small subunit ribosomal RNA
Source: RNAcentral